RNAcentral lists this long non-coding RNA (373 nucleotides) under Homo sapiens (human). RNAcentral describes it as "non-protein coding lnc-KLF4-15:1". Lineage: Eukaryota; Metazoa; Chordata; Mammalia; Primates; Hominidae. The record is from RNAcentral.
CAACCAUAGGCCUGAAACAAAAAGACUCCAAAAAUACAGAGAGCCAUUAAUCUGUAUCAGAUUCUUGCGUGCUCUCUCUCCCCAUCCAUCAUAUACAUGCAUGUUUUUUAAUACAUCCCCAAGCCCUUUUUUCAUCUGCUUAUGCAGGGUUAGAAUCUGGGGCACCCUGGUAUCUUCCUGUAUCCUAUGCUCUUGCUGCCUACCGUUUUUGGGGUUCACUGACAAAUCCUUGCUGACUGGAGUCGGGGUGUGUGGAGUGGAUCACUUCAAUUCAUGCCAGGAGAAGAAUCAUUAGAUUCUAAAUGCAUUCAGAAGACAGGGGGCAGAGAGACAGACUCGGAGGAUCACAGAGGCUCCUCAAAGCUGGUAAUGC